AGAGAGGUGAAAACUACAAAAGGAAGAAUAAAUAUGAAAGCAAUGACAUUUAUAGUAUGAAAAUUAAAUAUCCUUUUAGGCUAAGAUCUAUGUUAUGUUGUGGUGGUUGGAAGGUGAUUGUUAGGUGCGAGUUGCACAAUCAUAAACUAUCUAAGGAUUUAGAUGACCACGACAUACUGGGUCGUUUAAAAGAUCAUGAAAGAAAAUUUAUGAAUGACAUGACGAUGUACGAUAUGGCUCCAAGGUGCAUAAU
This 253-nucleotide long non-coding RNA is filed under the name Lathyrus oleraceus (garden pea). RNAcentral's name for it is "Pisum sativum (pea) long non-coding RNA (PSAT_LNC028217)". The record is from RNAcentral. Lineage: Eukaryota; Viridiplantae; Streptophyta; Magnoliopsida; Fabales; Fabaceae.